This is a long non-coding RNA of Hippocampus comes (tiger tail seahorse), 1339 nucleotides long. RefSeq lists it as uncharacterized. Lineage: Eukaryota; Metazoa; Chordata; Actinopteri; Syngnathiformes; Syngnathidae. The record is from RefSeq and is a predicted model, not a curated record. The transcript has 5 exons.
UCCUAGUUUUUGUUGUUUUGUUUGUUCUUAACAUGGAGUAUUUAGAGUAAAUUUUUUUAACUUAGCUAUUACAACCUUGUCUUGUACAAUAACCAAAUUGGUCACUUGCCAUCCUUCCACAUUUUUUGGACCAGAACCAGCUUGUUAUUACUAUGACGUGUUGGCCUGUUAGGGGCAGUAUGGCGCAGGCAUGCGGAUAACACACCUCCACCUGAGUUUAUUGACGAGAAGAAGAAAGUCCCGGCCAAGACACCAACGAAGAAGAUAUUGCCAGCAACGGCGCGGGCCGAAGACAACAUGGCGGACUGAAUGAAAUACUCGAUGGAUGGCCAAUUGGAAAGAGAUAAACUCCAUUGAUUAACUUUAAAAAAAAAUCGGUAGUGCCGCUUCAUGGAAGACGAGAGUUGAUAUAUUGAGACCAUGAAAAAAAAUCACCAACAAGAAAACUACAAACUGGAGGUGGCAGGAAGCGGAACUACGCAUCCGGAAGUCAGCCUCUGGUGCCAUUUUCCUGUUUUCUCCUCCCGGAGCACCGCUUGAUCCCGGCCGGCCUUGUUGGAGCUCAUCCCGGAUGACUUCGGGCGUCAGGCGGACGACACCCAUAACUGUCGCGGGCAACAUAUAGAAACGAACGACAUCCACAUCGUCAGUGACAUCAGCGAGGUGAGAGGCUUCUCCUGAAAAUGGAGUCGUGAGGGGUCAAGGCUCAGAUAGUCGACUUGAACCCGUUGCCGUGGAGCGAAGCGGUUCCCCCGGGGGUUGUUUGGACACGUAUCGAAGGGCCUUGAUGACACGGCCGCCAUGCUUGGCUGCUUUUUUAACCACCGCCAGCUGCUGGGCGAUGCGCAUGGCUGAAGAGAAAUGGGAAACGUUUGGAUCGCAUCACUUUGAGGAAACUAAAAGAAGAUUCUCACACGGGGUAGGUGUCCAAUUAAGAAUCCAAGCGUGCUUGCGCGCUCAUUUGUUUAUUUGGCACACAGCUUUAAAGUUGACUGUAAAACUGAAUUCACCUUUUAUGGUUGUGACUCGCAUCAGGUGUGUGUCGGGUGACAUUCUAAACAGCCCUCAGAUGUGCACCGCUGAAUACCCGCGCCCAAUUGGCUGUCGGUGAUAAUAGUCCGCACCAUAUAUGGGGAUUUCCCCAAGGCGGACACUCUUAUGGGUGGGGAUUUGCACUUUGACACAGUAGUUGCGGCGAUAACUCGACAACUUCCUUAUGCAUUCCAUUCAACAGCUUCCGUAUACAGACGCAAAUGAGAGUACACUGGAAAAGUGGUUGCCCCCCCCCCCACCACCACCCCCCUCCAGAAAGAAUCAACAAUGCCAUUCAUAGCAUACA